GUGUCAGCCGCCGCGGUAAGACGUAGGAGGCGAGCGUUAUCCGGAUUCACUGGGCGUAAAGCGCAUGUAGGCGGUUGUGUAAGUCCGUUGUUAAAGCCCCUGGCUCAACUGGGGGAGGUCAAUGGAGACUACACUGACUUGAGGGCAACAGAGGCACAUGGAACUCCCGGUGUAGCGGUGGAAUGCGUAGAGAUCGGGAAGAACACCCGUGGCGAAGGCGGUGUGCUGGGUUGCCACUGACGCUGAGAUGCGAAAGUGUGGGGAGCAAACGGGAUUAGAUACCCGCGUAGUCC
RNAcentral lists this ribosomal RNA (293 nucleotides) under uncultured bacterium. Its description in RNAcentral is "partial 16S ribosomal RNA". It matches the Rfam family "Bacterial small subunit ribosomal RNA", at positions 505 to 796 of the family's 1533-position model. The record is from RNAcentral.